Molecule: ribosomal RNA, 292 nt
Filed under: uncultured bacterium
Lineage: Bacteria
Description: partial 16S ribosomal RNA
Rfam family: Bacterial small subunit ribosomal RNA
Source: RNAcentral
GUGUCAGCCGCCGCGGUAAUACUGAGGGUGCGAGCGUUAAUCGGAAUUACUGGGCGUAAAGCGAGUGUAGGCGGUUACCUAAGUCGGAUGUGAAAGCCCCGGGCUUAACCUGGGAAUUGCAUUCGAUACUGGGUGACUGGAGUUUGGUAGAGGUAAGUGGAAUUCCGGGUGUAGCGGUGAAAUGCGUAGAUAUCCGGAGGAACAUCAGUGGCGAAGGCGGCUUACUGGACCAAAACUGACGCUGAGGCUCGAAAGCGUGGGUAGCAAACAGGAUUAGAUACCCUUGUAGUCC